UACGGAGGGUGCGAGCGUUGUCCGGAAUCACUGGGCGUAAAGGGCGCGUAGGCGGCGCGGGAAGUCCGUGGUGAAAGCCCGAGGCUCAACUUCGGGUCGGCCAUGGAUACUCCUGGGCUUGAGCACUGUAGAGGCAGGUGGAAUUCCGGGUGUAGCGGUGGAAUGCGUAGAGAUCCGGAAGAACACCGGUGGCGAAGGCGGCCUGCUGAGCAGUAGCUGACGCUGAGGCGCGACAGCGUGGGGAGCAAACGAGG
This 254-nucleotide ribosomal RNA is filed under the name uncultured bacterium. Its description in RNAcentral is "partial 16S ribosomal RNA". It matches the Rfam family "Bacterial small subunit ribosomal RNA", at positions 524 to 777 of the family's 1533-position model. The record is from RNAcentral.